This 433-nucleotide long non-coding RNA is filed under the name Mytilus galloprovincialis (Mediterranean mussel). Lineage: Eukaryota; Metazoa; Mollusca; Bivalvia; Mytilida; Mytilidae. The record is from RNAcentral.
GCUGGGAUUUACGAGCUUUGUUAUUUCUUGUAAAAUAUCGUCCGUCUACUGUGUUCAAUUUCUUUUGAGUGUAAAUAUGGUUUUGGUAUAUAUAAAAAAAAAACUAUUUACCAGGAUCUGCUUACCCUUCCGGAGCACCUGAGAUCAUCCCCAGUUUUUGGUGUGGUUCGUAUUGCUUCGUCUGAAGUUUUCUUUAUUGUUUCUUGUGUAUUUUUAUUUGUCUGUUUGUCUUUUUCUUUUUUAGCCAUGGCGUUAUCAGUUUAUUUUCGAUCUAUGUGUUUGACUGUCCCUCUGGUAUCUUUCGCCUCUCUUUUAUCAAUUUUUUUACUAUUCCUACUUUGAUACAUUUAUGCACAAUAAAUGUGAAAACCAAUUUAUGUUUAACAAGGUGCGUCUUAAAUGCCAAAAAUGAUUCAUAACAUAUACUAUUCUU